Molecule: long non-coding RNA, 1335 nt
Filed under: Vulpes vulpes (red fox)
Lineage: Eukaryota; Metazoa; Chordata; Mammalia; Carnivora; Canidae
Description: lncRNA (ENSVVUG00000008299.1)
Source: RNAcentral
GAACGUUUUAGGAGUGGUACUUGGCAGUUUAGAAAACGUCUAACAAGAGAAACCAAGACUGCAGAGGUAGUGGAGGUGUCGUGGAAAGGCCUGGCGAGGCUGACCUGGCUGGGCGGGGGACGCCCGGGAAGGGCUCGGCGUCUCUGGCCUGCUUCCUCCCGGCUUCUGGGCCUCGGGGAGCCCCACCCGGAUGCUCACCGUUCGCCUGCCCGGGAGGGCAGAGGUGGGACUAGCCCCGCGGAGUGCCCACCCUCUCGGAGCGGCCCCAAGGCACGGCCCAGGCCUGCCCUCCCCGGGCCGGGGUUGUCUCCCCAGCUAGGGGGAGACUCCGCGGGUAGCACGGCCGGGACGGGGUUGGGAGAGCUGGUUUGGAGGGCCAACCUCGCUGGGUGGCCUCGCAGCGCGGAGGGUGGGGUUCCGGAAGCCCCGCCCACCAGCGCUGCCCUUAGCCAAUCCGGUGUCUGGGCGGGGCGAGGGGCGGGCUCCAGCGGAACCGACCCUUUACGUUCCCUUCUCUCCUCUCCUACUCAGCGCGGUUGCCUGGCAACAUCCGAACUGGUCCUCUUCAACGCUCCCCUUUAUCCGCUCUUCCGAGCUGGACUCCUUCACAGCCGGCCCUGGGCCUACCACAGAGAUGCCGAACCUCCCGCGUUCCUAGAGAGGGCGCGGGCGGGGGCCCCGGCCGGAGCCGCUUCCGGCUUCCAGCUCCCAGCUCGGGUGUCUCGCGGCUGGCGGGAGGCUGGGAGCUCGGGCCCGGCCGCCAGCUGCGGCCUCUGCCCUGGAGCUCGGGGGCUCCGGGACACCUGCCGCCGGCGCCCUGGCACCUUCCGAGGCCAGGGAGCGGGGGGAGCCAUACAGAGAGAGAGAAGAGAGAGAGGCAGAGGGAGAAGCAGGCUCCAUGCAGGGAGCCCGACGUGGGAUUCGAUCCUGGGUCUCCAGGAUCGCGCUCUGGGCCAAAGGCAGGCGCCAAACCGCUGCGACACCCAGGGACAGGGUAUCCCUCCUUCGCUUUUCAAAUACAAAAUGAAUGCCUGCUUUACAGGUUCUUUGCUAAACGUCGAGGAAUACGCGAUGCCAGAGCCAGACGGGAUCCCUGCCCGCACGGGGUUCCGGCCUAGUGAGGGAGACCGCCGAGCCCGUGAGUGGCACAAACACUGCUCUCAAGUAGUGACAGGUACCGGAAGGAACGGAGCGGGGAGGCAAUGGAGCCUGUUAGGAGCGGACUGUCAGAGGACCCCGCUCAAGGCGGGAGCAUUAAGCCGGGACUUGGAGAAUGACAAGAGGCCAUUUUACAAGGAUUUGGGGACAACCUUCCAAGCAAGGGGAGCAGAGUGA